RNAcentral lists this ribosomal RNA (567 nucleotides) under uncultured bacterium. Its description in RNAcentral is "partial 16S ribosomal RNA". It matches the Rfam family "Bacterial small subunit ribosomal RNA", at positions 355 to 936 of the family's 1533-position model. The record is from RNAcentral.
UGGGGAAUAUUGCACAAUGGGCGAAAGCCUGAUGCAGCGACGCCGCGUGAGGGAUGACGGCCUUCGGGUUGUAAACCUCUUUCAGCAGGGACGAAGCGCAAGUGACGGUACCUGCAGAAGAAGCACCGGCCAACUACGUGCCAGCAGCCGCGGUAAUACGUAGGGUGCGAGCGUUGUCCGGAAUUACUGGGCGUAAAGAGCUCGUAGGCGGUUUGUCGCGUCGUCUGUGAAAUUCUGCAGCUUAACUGCAGGCGUGCAGGCGAUACGGGCAGACUUGAGUACUACAGGGGAGACUGGAAUUCCUGGUGUAGCGGUGAAAUGCGCAGAUAUCAGGAGGAACACCGGUGGCGAAGGCGGGUCUCUGGGUAGUAACUGACGCUGAGGAGCGAAAGCGUGGGUAGCGAACAGGAUUAGAUACCCUGGUAGUCCACGCCGUAAACGGUGGGUACUAGGUGUGGGUUCCAUUUCACGGGAUCCGUGCCGUAGCUAACGCAUUAAGUACCCCGCCUGGGGAGUACGGCCGCAAGGCUAAAAACUCAAAGGAAUUGACGGGGUCAUAGCUGUUUU